Molecule: long non-coding RNA, 1848 nt
Organism: Oreochromis aureus
Lineage: Eukaryota; Metazoa; Chordata; Actinopteri; Cichliformes; Cichlidae
Source: Ensembl
GCUGUUUUGUUGAUGUGCGAGAGUAACUUUUAUUGUAUUAUUUUAUUUGUGUUCCCAUAGGCAAACUCACCGUUUGUAGAUUAAACUUGGAUUAUUUAUCACAAAAGAAGAUAUAAGUACGGUGGCUGGGAAGUGCAAAGCACAUUUACAACAUAGACAACAAAAUAACAUUUCAAAAAGCACUUCUACAUAAAAAAAAAGGCAAAUAACAAAUUGACAACAAAAUAACAAGUCUGCAACAAAUUAACAAGUGGCUCUUGACGGAAAGGGAUUGUCUGAAAUACCGGAAGUAACUCAACAAUGUUUCUGGCCCAAACAAAGCGCUAGCGGAAGAGGAGCGAAAGCACACGGAUAACACCAGCUAUGUGCGGUCGGUUGUAAUGUUAGAUCGCACGACCGGCAAGGGAAUAAGCUUGAAAUGGUUUAUCUUUUCAUUCUUUCCCCACCUGGAAGCAACAUGAGGCAGCUCAUGUAUCAGAUGUUACCAAAAGAAGACGUCUAGUCUGGAUAGCAGCUGUGAGACGAGCUGAUAUCCAGCUCUCUUCCAUCUCCAAAUAUCUGUUGGUGCUCCAGACAUUUUCAUUCCGGCAAACCAGCCUAUGAAAUGGAUGAAACACAUCGUGACUGGGUUCCAGCGCUACACAUGGGGCACUCCGAAAUCCCUGCUUCAAACAUACCGCCAUGCCAAUCAGAUUACUUCUUCCAUGUGAGGGUGAAGAUGUGACCCUUCUGGAUAAGAUGGUGAAGCAAGGGCGUAGAUUUGGCAUGGACGGAAGGGACAUGUCCCCACCAAUAAUUUGAUCUCUUCGAGUAAAGAAAAACAAACCCGAUAGAAAGAGGAAAAAAAAAAAACGAUCUUUCAACGUCUCAUUCACCCAGCGGUGCAGAAAGAUUUAAAUUACGUUCGCUACUGGAGUCCUACCUCAUGUGACAAAUAUGGCCAAUGUGAUUGGCUGUGCCUUUCGGGGAGCUCUGUUUAGUUUUAGCAGCGGCAAGCCUGCGCUGCGAGGACCUGCAAGGAGGAGAGGAGGAUGGCAGCAAAAAGGAAGAACCUGGAUAUAAGAAAGUAUUUUUCAAAGAAACCUGUAAGUCACUUAAAGUUAAGCUCACUCAUAAAAUGUGUCCGUCAUAAUAACGUUACAGGCUAUGCUAGGCUUUGGCCCACAUGAGUCUAAAAUUGUAUGUAACCAUGAAUAACGUGUUUUGGAAACUAACUGCACAACACGCAGCACUAUUAGUUAUCUCAGUCUCCCAGAGUAGCAUUUCUAAUUUUGAUUGAAAGUGUCAGAGAAAAUGGCAGCCUCGAGCAAGCCAGGAUAUUAGUUUACAGAGGCUGUUAAAAUUAUAUGUCUAACGUUAAAAUGUUGGUGACACAAUAAUUUCAUCCUAAUGGUACUGACAUAUUCAUAGGGUUGAUUUUUGAGACAAUAUAUCAUGAGGUAGUCAUGAUUUUGCAAAUAUUCCACCUUGUAGUGCAGUUUGCACAAAUUGUUUUAAAAAUGCACUCACCCUACAAACAUUACUGAUGAGUCAAGAUCUGCACAAAUUGACAGAAACACUGAAGCAGCUAUUUUAUUCUUAUUGUCAUGUAUGUGCUAUUUGUCAGGUGACAGAAGAACCAACACAAAGCUCAGAGAGCAAUGGCGAUACAAGAUCACAGAAACCUGCCUGCAGAGAAUGAACCUAAAGUAUGUAAUGCAAGGAUGUGAUCACUUUCAAGAUGGAGAAAGCAUAAAGUUCGACUUUAAGAGACAAUUAUGGACACGUAAUAUGAUAAGGAGAUUCUGCAGGUCAUUAAUCAAUGUAUAAAAAUAAAAUAAAAUGUAUUUUUAGUGACACAGGACACAA